UACGUAGGAGGCAAGCGUUGUCCGGAAUUACUGGGCGUAAAGCGCGUGUAGGUGGUGGGACAAGUCUGCUGUGAAAGCGCCUGGCUUAACCGGGCGAGGUCGGCGGAAACUGCCCGACUCGAGGACGGUAGAGGGGGGUGGAAUUCCCGGUGUAGUGGUGAAAUGCGUAGAGAUCGGGAGGAACACCUGUGGCGAAGGCGGCCCCCUGGGCCGGCCCUGACACUGAGACGCGAAGGCGUGGGGAGCAAACGGG
RNAcentral lists this ribosomal RNA (253 nucleotides) under uncultured bacterium. RNAcentral describes it as "partial 16S ribosomal RNA". It matches the Rfam family "Bacterial small subunit ribosomal RNA", at positions 524 to 776 of the family's 1533-position model. The record is from RNAcentral.